Molecule: ribosomal RNA, 472 nt
Filed under: uncultured bacterium
Lineage: Bacteria
Description: bacterial SSU rRNA
Rfam family: Bacterial small subunit ribosomal RNA
Source: RNAcentral
UGGGGAAUAUUGGACAAUGGGCGCAAGCCUGAUCCAGCAAUGCCGCGUGAGUGAAGAAGGCCUUCGGGUUGUAAAGCUCUUUUGUCAGGGAAGAAACGGUGAGAGCUAAUAUCUCUUGCUAAUGACGGUACCUGAAGAAUAAGCACCGGCUAACUACGUGCCAGCAGCCGCGGUAAUACGUAGGGUGCAAGCGUUAAUCGGAAUUACUGGGCGUAAAGCGUGCGCAGGCGGUUUUGUAAGUCUGAUGUGAAAUCCCCGGGCUCAACCUGGGAAUUGCAUUGGAGACUGCAAGGCUAGAAUCUGGCAGAGGGGGGUAGAAUUCCACGUGUAGCAGUGAAAUGCGUAGAUAUGUGGAGGAACACCGAUGGCGAAGGCAGCCCCCUGGGUCAAGAUUGACGCUCAUGCACGAAAGCGUGGGGAGCAAACAGGAUUAGAUACCCGUGUAGUCCCUGAGCGGGCUGGCAAGGCGCAU